This 75-nucleotide transfer RNA is filed under the name Bacillus thuringiensis serovar kurstaki str. HD-1. RNAcentral's name for it is "tRNA-Asn (GTT) (tRNA-Asn-GTT-4-1)". It matches the Rfam family "tRNA". From Rfam's summary of the family: Transfer RNA (tRNA) molecules are approximately 80 nucleotides in length. Their secondary structure includes four short double-helical elements and three loops (D, anti-codon, and T loops). Lineage: Bacteria; Bacillati; Bacillota; Bacilli; Caryophanales; Bacillaceae. The record is from RNAcentral.
UCCGCCGUAGCUCAGUGGUAGAGCUAUCGGCUGUUAACCGAUCGGUCGUAGGUUCGAGGCCUACCUGCGGAGCCA